AUUGAACGCUGGCGGCAGGCCUAACACAUGCAAGUCGAGCGGUAACAGGAAGAAGCUUGCUUCUUUGCUGACGAGUGGCGGACGGGUGAGUAAUGUCUGGGAAACUGCCUGAUGGAGGGGGAUAACUACUGGAAACGGUAGCUAAUACCGCAUAACGUCGCAAGACCAAAGAGGGGGACCUUCGGGCCUCUUGCCAUCGGAUGUGCCCAGAUGGGAUUAGCUAGUAGGUGGGGUAACGGCUCACCUAGGCGACGAUCCCUAGCUGGUCUGAGAGGAUGACCAGCCACACUGGAACUGAGACACGGUCCAGACUCCUACGGGAGGCAGCAGUGGGGAAUAUUGCACAAUGGGCGCAAGCCUGAUGCAGCCAUGCCGCGUGUAUGAAGAAGGCCUUCGGGUUGUAAAGUACUUUCAGCGGGGAGGAAGGGAGUAAAGUUAAUACCUUUACUCAUUGACGUUACCCGCAGAAGAAGCACCGGCUAACUCCGUG
This 490-nucleotide ribosomal RNA is filed under the name uncultured bacterium. RNAcentral describes it as "partial 16S ribosomal RNA". It matches the Rfam family "Bacterial small subunit ribosomal RNA", at positions 30 to 507 of the family's 1533-position model. The record is from RNAcentral.